Molecule: ribosomal RNA, 1294 nt
Filed under: Lactococcus lactis
Lineage: Bacteria; Bacillati; Bacillota; Bacilli; Lactobacillales; Streptococcaceae
Description: bacterial SSU rRNA
Rfam family: Bacterial small subunit ribosomal RNA
Source: RNAcentral
AACGAAUGCUAAUACCGCAUAAAAACUUUAAACACAAGUUUUAAGUUUGAAAGAUGCAAUUGCAUCACUCAAAGAUGAUCCCGCGUUGUAUUAGCUAGUUGGUGAGGUAAAGGCUCACCAAGGCGAUGAUACAUAGCCGACCUGAGAGGGUGAUCGGCCACAUUGGGACUGAGACACGGCCCAAACUCCUACGGGAGGCAGCAGUAGGGAAUCUUCGGCAAUGGACGAAAGUCUGACCGAGCAACGCCGCGUGAGUGAAGAAGGUUUUCGGAUCGUAAAACUCUGUUGGUAGAGAAGAACGUUGGUGAGAGUGGAAAGCUCAUCAAGUGACGGUAACUACCCAGAAAGGGACGGCUAACUACGUGCCAGCAGCCGCGGUAAUACGUAGGUCCCGAGCGUUGUCCGGAUUUAUUGGGCGUAAAGCGAGCGCAGGUGGUUUAUUAAGUCUGGUGUAAAAGGCAGUGGCUCAACCAUUGUAUGCAUUGGAAACUGGUAGACUUGAGUGCAGGAGAGGAGAGUGGAAUUCCAUGUGUAGCGGUGAAAUGCGUAGAUAUAUGGAGGAACACCGGUGGCGAAAGCGGCUCUCUGGCCUGUAACUGACACUGAGGCUCGAAAGCGUGGGGAGCAAACAGGAUUAGAUACCCUGGUAGUCCACGCCGUAAACGAUGAGUGCUAGAUGUAGGGAGCUAUAAGUUCUCUGUAUCGCAGCUAACGCAAUAAGCACUCCGCCUGGGGAGUACGACCGCAAGGUUGAAACUCAAAGGAAUUGACGGGGGCCCGCACAAGCGGUGGAGCAUGUGGUUUAAUUCGAAGCAACGCGAAGAACCUUACCAGGUCUUGACAUACUCGUGCUAUUCCUAGAGAUAGGAAGUUCCUUCGGGACACGGGAUACAGGUGGUGCAUGGUUGUCGUCAGCUCGUGUCGUGAGAUGUUGGGGUUAAGUCCCGCAACGAGCGCAACCCCUAUUGUUAGUUGCCAUCAUUAAGUUGGGCACUCUAACGAGACUGCCGGUGAUAAACCGGAGGAAGGUGGGGAUGACGUCAAAUCAUCAUGCCCCUUAUGACCUGGGCUACACACGUGCUACAAUGGAUGGUACAACGAGUCGCGAGACAGUGAUGUUUAGCUAAUCUCUUAAAACCAUUCUCAGUUCGGAUUGUAGGCUGCAACUCGCCUACAUGAAGUCGGAAUCGCUAGUAAUCGCGGAUCAGCACGCCGCGGUGAAUACGUUCCCGGGCCUUGUACACACCGCCCGUCACACCACGGGAGUUGGGAGUACCCGAAGUAGGUGCCUAAC